CCCUUAGAUGUUCUGGGCCGCACGCGCGCUACACUGAUGCAUUCAACGAGUUUCUUCCUGGUCCGAGAGGAAUGGGUAACCUUUUGAAAGUGCAUCGUGAUAGGGAUAGACUAUUGCAAUUAUUGGUCUUCAACGAGGAAUUCCUAGUAAACGUAGUUCAUCAGACUGCAUCGAUUACGUCCCUGCCCUUUGUACACACCGCCCGUCGCUCCUACCGAUUGAAUGCUCAGGUGAGCCAUUCGGACUUUCAUCAUGCUGGUUUCCAGUUUUGAUGAAGGAAAGUCUUGCGAACCUUAUCAUUUAGAGGAAGGAGAAGUCGUAACA
This 324-nucleotide ribosomal RNA is filed under the name uncultured eukaryote. Its description in RNAcentral is "partial 18S ribosomal RNA". It matches the Rfam family "Eukaryotic small subunit ribosomal RNA", at positions 1470 to 1796 of the family's 1831-position model. The record is from RNAcentral.